GAUGAACGCUGGCGGCGUGCCUAAUACAUGCAAGUCGAGCGAACGGACGAGAAGCUUGCUUUUCUGAUGUUAGCGGCGGACGGGUGAGUAACACGUGGAUAACCUACCUAUAAGACUGGGAUAACUUCGGGAAACCGGAGCUAAUACCGGAUAAUAUUUUGAACCGCAUGGUUCAAAAGUGAAAGACGGUCUUGCUGUCACUUAUAGAUGGAUCCGCGCUGCAUUAGCUAGUUGGUAAGGUAACGGCUUACCAAGGCAACGAUGCAUAGCCGACCUGAGAGGGUGAUCGGCAACACUGGAACUGAGACACGGUCCAGACUCCUACGGGAGGCAGCAGUAGGGAAUCUUCCGCAAUGGGCGAAAGCCUGACGGAGCAACGCCGCGUGAGUGAUGAAGGUCUUCGGAUCGUAAAACUCUGUUAUUAGGGAAGAACAUAUGUGUAAGUAACUGUGCACAUCUGGACGGUACCUAAUCAGAAAGCCACGGCUAACUACGU
Molecule: ribosomal RNA, 496 nt
Filed under: uncultured bacterium
Lineage: Bacteria
Description: partial 16S ribosomal RNA
Rfam family: Bacterial small subunit ribosomal RNA
Source: RNAcentral